This 1555-nucleotide ribosomal RNA is filed under the name human gut metagenome. RNAcentral's name for it is "bacterial LSU rRNA". It matches the Rfam family "Bacterial large subunit ribosomal RNA", at positions 839 to 2420 of the family's 2925-position model. The record is from RNAcentral.
CCGGAGAUAGCUGGUUCUCCUCGAAAUAGCUUUAGGGCUAGCCUCAUACAAGUCUGCCGGAGGUAGAGCACUGAAUUUCCGCGGGGGCGUCAAAGCCUACCAAAGAAUAUCAAACUCCGAAUGCCGGACAGAUGGUGUAUGGGAGUCAGACUGUACGAGAUAAGUUGGACAGUCAAAAGGGAAAGAGCCCAGACCGCCGGCUAAGGUCCCAAAGUGGGUGUUAAGUGGAAAAGGAUGUGGGAUCUCUAAGACAACCAGGAUGUUGGCUCAGAAGCAGCCAUUCAUUAAAAGAGUGCGUAACAGCUCACUGGUCGAGAGGUCCUGCGCCGAAAAUGUCCGGGGCUGAAACACCACACCGAAGCCGCGGAACCCGUAAGGGUUGGUAGAGGAGCAUUCUUAGGGGAGCGAAGCAUUACCGGAAGGGGAUGUGGACCGCUAAGAAGAGAGAAUGCCGGAAUGAGUAGCGAGAGCAAGGUGGGAAUCCUUGCGGCCGAAUAUCCAAGGUUUCCAGAGUAAAGCUGAUCUGCUCUGGGUAAGUCGGGGCCUAAGGAGAGGCAGAGAUGCGUAUCCGAUGGACAGCAGGUUUAAGAUUCCUGCACCCCUUGUUAUCAGAACUGCGGGGACACGGGAAGGGAAGCAGAGCCGGGAAUGGAAAGCCCGGUGCAAGCGAAGUAGUCGCAGGGUUGGAAAAUCCGCCCUGCAUGAGACGAAGGCGUGAUGCGGAGCGAAAUGAAGUAGUGAAGCUGCGGCCCCUUCCUGUCGAGAAAAGCCGCUAUCGUGUAGCAAGGGCCCGUACCGUAAACCGACACAGGUGGAUGAGGAGAGGAUCCUAAGGCCGGCGGGAGAAGUGUUGUUAAGGAACUCGGCAAAAUGACUCCGUAACUUCGGGAGAAGGAGUGCUGCGCAAGCAGCCGCAGAGAAAUGGCCCAAGCAACUGUUUAGCAAAAACACAGGUCUAUGCGAAACCGAAAGGUGAGGUAUAUGGGCUGACGCCUGCCCGGUGCUGGAAGGUUAAGGGGAGAGCUUAGCGCGAGCGAAGGUUUGAACUUAAGCCCCAGUAAACGGCGGCCGUAACUAUAACGGUCCUAAGGUAGCGAAAUUCCUUGUCGGGUAAGUUCCGACCCGCACGAAAGGCGUAAUGAUUUGGGCACUGUCUCAACAACACACCCGGUGAAAUUGAAAUACCAGUGAAGAUGCUGGUUACCCGCGCCAGGACGGAAAGACCCCAUGGAGCUUUACUCCAGCCUGAUACUGGGAUUCGGUAUUGCAUGUACAGGAUAGGUGGGAGGCUGAGAACUCAUGGCGCCAGCCGUGAGGGAGCCGGUGUUGGGAUACCACCCCUGCAGUACUGGGUUUCUAACCUGCGCCCGUGACCCGGGCGGGGGACAAUGUCAGGCGGGGAGUUUGACUGGGGCGGUCGCCUCCGAAAGGGUAUCGGAGGCGCUCAAAGGUCUCCUCAGGAUGGUUGGAAACCAUCCAGAGAGUGCAAAGGCAGAAGGAGGCUUGACUGCGACACCGACGGGUGGAGCAGGUACGAAAGUAGGACUUAGUGAUC